RNAcentral lists this unclassified non-coding RNA (722 nucleotides) under Melitaea cinxia (Glanville fritillary). RNAcentral describes it as "misc RNA ENSMCXG00005016115.1". Lineage: Eukaryota; Metazoa; Arthropoda; Insecta; Lepidoptera; Nymphalidae. The record is from RNAcentral.
AAUCUAAUAAGUAUUUCUGUUUCAUGCUAGCACGUUUUAAUUAAUUUUUAUCGUCUGCUCAUUAAUAGCGAAUGUGACACAAUGUUGUGUUUUAUAUUGUUGUUGUUGCCAGGAAUAACAUUCCAAUACAAGAUAAGGAUUAAUGGAAAAGUUGAAAUGGGUGAACAAGUUUCAAAUUUCUUGAAGACGAUUUACAGCAAAGUUUCGGGCAACACGUAUACAAAUCUGGAAUUAUCUGAUAUAGAACAUAAGCUAUCUAAAGACGUCUUAGAAGCGCCAUUUAUUCAUGAAAUAAUGAGCAAGGACCAAAUGACUCAUAUAUACGGUACGCAUGAUGAAGAAAAUGAAAUACACGAAAAACACAAUAAUAUUAAAGUAUGAUGUACCACAAAUAGUAGAACGUGUUGGAAAAUUCUGGAAGAAAAUGUUAUAUACUGUGACGUAACAUACAAACUUCGAUAAGGUUCUCGUGAUUUUAUUAAUUACCCCAAACACAAUAAAUACUUUAAAUUAUAUUCGAAUAUCAAGCAAGUAUAGUUCGAGCUGAAUUCAUAUGUCGUAACAAAUAAAAUGCUAUAUUAUUCAAAACAAUCUUCACAUAAAACAAAAAGAAACGAAUUUUAGGUUCCUAAGUGAACGCUAUAUGCAAAUAAAUAAUGAAUGUAAUGAAUACAAAAUAGUUCAAUAUCUUAUAUACUGGUAAAACUGUUGAAUCAUCACUG